CUGGGUUCAGUACGUCGUGAGACAGUACGGUCCCUAUCUGUUGCGGGUGAUAUGAAAUUUGAGAGGAGUUGAUCAUAGUACGAGAGGACCUGAUUGAACGAACCUCUGGCGUACCGGUUGUCGCGUCCGCGGCAGCGCCGGGUAACCAAGUCCGGACGGGAUAAAUGCUGAAAGCAUAUAAGCAUGAAACCCACCUCAAAACAAAAUUUCACAAUUCUUUUUGCUUUCGCAAGAAAGCAAAAAGGAUAAGAAGGCCACAUGUAGAUUACGUGUUUGAUAGGCAGGAGGUGUAAUCCCAGUAAUGGGUUGAGCUGACCUGUACUAAUCGGCCGUUCGACUUGACCAUAU
RNAcentral lists this ribosomal RNA (348 nucleotides) under Elusimicrobia bacterium HGW-Elusimicrobia-4. RNAcentral's name for it is "bacterial LSU rRNA". It matches the Rfam family "Bacterial large subunit ribosomal RNA", at positions 2605 to 2925 of the family's 2925-position model. Lineage: Bacteria; Pseudomonadati; Elusimicrobiota. The record is from RNAcentral.